GUGUGUGUGUGUAUGUGUGCGCGCAUGUGUAUAUAUAGGAGUGAUCUCUACACCGCUCAGCAGCGUUGGCAAUGUGUGUGUGUGUGUGUGUGUGUGUGUGUCUUGCACAUGUUU
Long non-coding RNA from Alosa sapidissima (American shad), 114 nucleotides. RefSeq lists it as uncharacterized. The transcript has 3 exons. Lineage: Eukaryota; Metazoa; Chordata; Actinopteri; Clupeiformes; Clupeidae. The record is from RefSeq and is a predicted model, not a curated record.